Scylla paramamosain (green mud crab) is the source of this 2178-nucleotide long non-coding RNA. RefSeq lists it as uncharacterized. Lineage: Eukaryota; Metazoa; Arthropoda; Malacostraca; Decapoda; Portunidae. The record is from RefSeq and is a predicted model, not a curated record. The transcript has 2 exons.
GUGGCGUCAGCUUUGUUGUGGUGUACGCGUGAGUCUUGUGUUUUCUUGAACGCUUUUUUGGGCUUUAGGUGAACCAAAACUCUCCCAAAGCCUGUCCACAGUGGUCAGCAGCUGUGACACAAGGAGCAGCUUUCUCAGCGACGGGGAGCGGUGGACGGCGGAUGAAUACUUCGGCUCCCGCGCCUUCUUCUGCAUCAUGUCCGACCCUCUGACCCUGGUGGUGGGCGACGUGCGUCAGAGGAGUUGAAAAUGUAUGGGACUCGCUGCUGUGCCCUGCGUGUAGCUGUGAGGUGAAGUACAGACGGCUGCAUUGUCUCAGCCUCGGAGGUGCCACUUGUUCAAAUUACGAAUGGUUUAAUGUUAUUUUUUGCAGGCUGUGGAAUAUUGCAGUAUCUUAUAACAAGACAAAUGAUAUAAAAAAGCAUGUAAUUUACCGAUAAGCAUUACACAACAACAUUAUUGCGGUGAUAAAAUGUACUCCUGUAAAAUGCUACGUGGCAUCGUCUCUCAGCUGUUUUCAAGGUCGCAAGGGCAGGCUACCCACCCGCCCUCCUCCCUCGCUUUGAUGAUGCCGCGUAGCAUUUUACAGAAGUACUUUUAAUCACCGCAAUAAUGUUGUCCUGUAACGCUUAUCGGUAAAUUACAUGCUUUGUAAUCCCAUUUGUCUUGUUAUAAGAUAAUGUAAUAUUAAACCAUUCGUAAUAUGACUAAGUGGCACCUCCGAGGCUGCGACAAUACAACCGUGUGUCCGUCAUUUCACAGAGCACACCCACGAGUCCCGUACAUUUUCAAAUCCUCUGACGGGUAAACAAAGCCUUAAAAUGCAUAUGUGCAUAGAACAUUUUCUACUUAGAAUUAAACGUUUUUUCACCUCUUUCAGUAUUUGCAGAAACUCGCGUUACACCCUGUAUAGGAAAUUAGAGACGUCGCAGUGAGCGUUUUGAUACCAGAUAGGGCCAGAAUUUUUAAUUCUCGCCGGAAAAUAAAUAUUUUUUGGGGCAAGGUUUUACAAGCUUACAAAGGUGUAUCGUUGCACAGUAAUGCGUCUGAAUUUUAAGUCAAUUAAUUUCGUGAUAACUGACAGCACAUGACAUUGUUUGAGCCUCUAUUCAUAAUUUCAGAUGAUAUUCUUAAAAGAGCCUAUAAGUGUAUCAAGGCAGGCAAUCUGUAAUUUUCUACUGACCUCAAUGGAAGUAUACUAAUAUAUACUUGCAUUUUCAUGUACUAAACAACAGGCAAAUCCAUUUAAUGUAAAGAAAAUAUAAUUUUGUAUCAGAGACUUUAUUUUUGCGGUACGAUCACUAUCCUCGGGUACUUGGGCAGCGAGCAAACCAAAACACAGGACCACGCUUACUCGACUACCCUGCACAAUGGAUACAUCACCGCCACAAUCAUGGACUACAGCGGAAUUAAGAAAAUUCCCGAAAGAACGAGCUAUACCCUAUUCUGGAUAUAGUAAAGCAAAGUAAAGGCCUUUGUAUCGGCAGAACUGAGAGGCUAUUGUUUACACUUUACACUCCUUCCUAACGGCGUGCGGCGCUUUUUUUAACUGAAGAAUCAUGAUCAAGAUAAGUACGUCGUACGUCCGCCAGCGGUGCUGUUCUUUUUUUUAUUUCACUGAUUACUUUCAUAUACAGGACGUGUCAGUGAUAUCUGAUAUUUUUCAACAUUCCCAGAUAAAAUGCACAAGCCGAAAUCAACAUCCUUUUAUUUUUACUGUUCAUACUUACUUAAAAAAAAAAUCAUUACCUAUUUUUAGUUUUAUCUUAUAAUUCAAUUAACAAAGCCUUAUCAUACACCAGUAAGUAUGAAUAUUAAUAUUAAGGGUUAUGUUUUUAAUUUUAGAUACACUUGUGCAGCAAUUCAUGCUGUACUUUUCCUGCACAUCGAUUUCAAAUUUAGCUAAGACACCCCUUUGCCCCAGGAAAUCGCAGACAAUUAAAAAUGCUGGCGCUGAUAGGUAUCUACCAGCCUCACUGCCACGUCUCUAAUUGCAAGGUGGCGAACAAGUUGUCUCAGUAUAUCAACCACGGGAACAAUAGACACCUGUAACCGCUUCACUCAGGGCGUUCAAUCUCUUAUGCUUUCGGAUCCAAUACCUUACAUUCUUCAGUUAAAAAACUCAUUACCUUACACACACACACACACACACACACACACACACACACACACACACAC